ACAGCAUCUGAUCAGUCCGAUCCAAAGGCGGAAAUAAGUAGCCUGGGGGACUGUGACCCUUGGGAGGCCCCUAUUCUCCCAGGAACAGUUACAAGGGUCCAUUAUGACACCAUCCUUUAACUGCACAAUCAGGUAUUAAUUUUACAUACAUGGGUCAUCGACCGGGCUUGAACCCAGAUUGAAAAGGGGAUGGAAUUUUCAUGGAAAUCGUGGUCAGUGGAAGAUUGAAGACCAGACCCUGGGGUCACCUAGUUCCCAGCCCAGUGCACCUUCCACAAGGCUGCAGGGUACGUCGAGGGUGACCUGUCCUCCCUCUCCACCGAGACAUAGACAAACUACAAGGUACAUGAUGCUUGGCCAGGGCUGACAGUCCCUGGGUUUCCAGGAUUUUGCAAAGCCCUCUGCUUACUUUGACCGCAGUAGACUUCGCCUGGAGAUUAGAGACAGCGUGUGGUGGACACAGGAAGAUGCAAGAUAUUGUCAACUGCCUGUUGCUGGAGCCACCAGCUGAGUUCCUUAUUUGGGGCUUGGUGGAGCCGGACACUGGAGUGUUGGAGGUAGCGCUGAGGGGCCCCUUGCUGCUCCCAUCAUGGCAUCUGCUCUCAUGAUCUUCUUCCUUGGCUGCUGGCUGGCCGGACAGAGCGGGAUGUCCAGAUAGUUCAGAUACCCCAAACCCAACAUCUCCCUGCGCCCCAGUGGAGGGGUUGCCCAGGGAGAAGCCGUGACCAUCCGGUGUGAGUGUCAGUGUC
Molecule: non-coding RNA, 749 nt
Organism: Chelonoidis abingdonii (Abingdon island giant tortoise)
Lineage: Eukaryota; Metazoa; Chordata; Testudines; Testudinidae
Source: RefSeq, a predicted model, not a curated record